AAUUUUCAGGUUUCUCGUGGUGAAGAGAAGUUUAUUGGGAAUUAGUUAUUGGAUAAUUUUCCUGCGUAUUCCCUAUUCUCUCAAAUUUUAUAAUGUUCUUCAUUCUUAUCUUUGUAUGUUUGAGUGUUAUGUGUACUGUAUGUGUGUACUAGAAAAUUAAUUUUGAAUCCGUUAAUUUCUUAGUUUGUUUUCUAUCUUGAUAUUGCGUUGUCUAUUCCUCAUUUCUUUAAUUUCGUAUCAGCAUAAUUUGAUUUCCUUUCAAUGAUAUUGUGCCGUAAGAGUUAAUUUUCUUAUUCUCGUUUUUACAUUUGAUCUCCACUCCUUUCGCUACUUUCUAUAAGCGUAAGGAUAGAAUUUUCAGGUUUCCCGAGGAAAAGAGAAGUUUAUGGGGAAAUACUUGUCCAGUUAGUUUCCUCUGUAUCCCCUAUUUUCCUCUAUUUCGCAUUGUUCUUCAUUUUUUUUUUUUUUUUAUGUUUUAGUGUUAUUUGUUGACUGCAAGUAUGUAGUAGAGAAUUAUUUGUCAAUCCUUUGAUUUUUUUUUUUCUUAAAGCUUGAUGUUGUGUUUUCUAUUUCUCAUUUUUUUAAUUUCGUAUCAAAAUAAUUUGAUUUACUUUGAAGGACAUUGUGGUUUUAACAUUUAAUCUCUUCUCCUUUCUCUACCUUGCUUUAAGCGUAAGGGUAGAAUUUUCAGGUUUCUCUUGGUGAAGAGAAGAUUAUUGGGAAUUAGUUAUUGGAUAAGUUUCCUCUGUAUUCCCUAUUCUCUCAAAUUUUGCACUGUUGUUCAUUUUUCUUUUUUAUGUUUUCGUGUUAUAUGUCUACUCUAUGUGUGUACUAGAAAAUUAAUUUGUAAUCCGUUAAUUUCUUUGUUUGCAUUUGAUCUUGAUGUUGCGUUGUCUAUUCCUCGUUUCUUUAAUUUUGUAUCAGCAUAAUUUGAGUUCCUUUCAACAAUAUUGUGCCUUGAGAGUUAAUUUUCUUAUUCUUGUUUUUACAUAUGAGCUCUACUCCUUUUGCUACCUUCUAUAAGCGUAAGGGUAGAAUUUUCAAGUUUCCUGAGGAAAAGAGAAGUUUAUCGAGAAAUACUUGUUAGGUAAGUUUCCUCCGUAUCCCCUAUUCUCCUCCAUUUCGCAUUGUUCUUCAUUCUUCUAUUUUAUGUUUGAGUGUUAUUUGUUGACCGCAUGUAUGUAGUAGAGAAUUAAUUUUCAAUUAUUUGAUUUCUUUGGUUUUUUUUUAAAGCUUGAUGUUGUGUUUUCUAUUCCUCAUUUUUUUAGUUUCGUAUCAGAAUAAUUUGAUUUACUUCGAAGGACAUUGUGGUUUUAAUAUUUGAUCUCUACUCAUUUCUCUACCUUGUUUUAAAUGUAAGGGUAGAAUUUUCAGGUUUCUCGUGGUGAAGAGAAGUUUAUUGGGAAUUAGUUAUUGGAUAAUUUUCCUGCGUAUUCCCUAUUCUCUCAAAUUUUAUAAUGUUCUUCAUUCUUAUCUUUGUAUGUUUGGGUGUUAUGUAUACUGUAUGUGUGUAGUAGAAAAUUAAUUUUGAAUCCGUUAAUUUUUUUAUUUGUUUUUUAUCUUGAUGUUGUGUUGUCUAUUCCUCAUUUCUUUAAUUUCAUAUCAGCAUAAUUGGAUUUCCUUUAACCAAUAUUGUGACUUAAGAGUUAAUUUUUUUAUUCUAGUUUUUACAUUUGAUCUCUACUCCUUUCACUACCUUCUAUAAGCAUAAAGGUAGAAUUUUCUAGUUUCCUAAGGAAAAGAGAAGUUUAUUGGGAAAUACUUGAGAAGUAAGUUUCUUCCGUAUCCCCUAUUCUUU
RNAcentral lists this long non-coding RNA (1798 nucleotides) under Vitis vinifera (wine grape). RNAcentral describes it as "long non-coding RNA (VVIN_LNC003541)". The record is from RNAcentral. Lineage: Eukaryota; Viridiplantae; Streptophyta; Magnoliopsida; Vitales; Vitaceae.